This 229-nucleotide ribosomal RNA is filed under the name uncultured bacterium. RNAcentral's name for it is "partial 16S ribosomal RNA". It matches the Rfam family "Bacterial small subunit ribosomal RNA", at positions 99 to 334 of the family's 1533-position model. The record is from RNAcentral.
CGGACGGGUGAGUAAUGUCUGGGAAACUGCCUGAUGAGGGGAUAACUACUGGAAACGGUAGCUAAUACCGCAUAACGUCGCAAGACCAAAGAGGGGGACCUUCGGGCCUCUUGCCAUCGGAUGUGCCCAGAUGGGAUUAGCUAGUAGGUGGGUAACGGCUCACCUAGGCGACGAUCCCUAGCUGGUCUGAGAGGAUGACCAGCCACACUGGAACUGAGACACGGUCCAG